RNAcentral lists this ribosomal RNA (460 nucleotides) under uncultured Anoxybacillus sp. Its description in RNAcentral is "bacterial SSU rRNA". It matches the Rfam family "Bacterial small subunit ribosomal RNA", at positions 920 to 1382 of the family's 1533-position model. The record is from RNAcentral. Lineage: Bacteria; Bacillati; Bacillota; Bacilli; Caryophanales; Anoxybacillaceae.
CCCGCACAAGCGGUGGAGCAUGUGGUUAAUUCGAAGCAACGCGAAGAACCUUACCAGGUCUUGACAUCCCCUGACAACCCGAGAGAUCGGCGUUCCCCUCGGGGGACAGGGUGACAGGUGGUGCAUGGUUGUCGUCAGCUCGUGUCGUGAGAUGUCGGGUUAAGUCCCGCAACGAGCGCAACCCUCGACCUUAGUUGCCAGCAUUCAGUUGGGCACUCUAAGGUGACUGCCGGCUAAAAGUCGGAGGAAGGUGGGGAUGACGUCAAAUCAUCAUGCCCCUUAUGACCUGGGCUACACACGUGCUACAAUGGGCGGUACAAAGGGUCGCGAACCCGCGAGGGGGAGCCAAUCCCAAAAAGCCGCUCUCAGUUCGGAUUGCAGGCUGCAACUCGCCUGCAUGAAGCCGGAAUCGCUAGUAAUCGCGGAUCAGCAUGCCGCGGUGAAUACGUUCCCGGGCCUU